Molecule: unclassified non-coding RNA, 242 nt
Filed under: plant metagenome
Description: partial contains small subunit ribosomal RNA, internal transcribed spacer 1, and 5.8S ribosomal RNA
Rfam family: Eukaryotic small subunit ribosomal RNA (bases 1-54)
Source: RNAcentral
GAAAGUAAAAGUCGUAACAAGGUUUCCGUAGGUGAACCUGCGGAAGGAUCAUUACAGAGUUCAUGCCCUCACGGGUAGAUCUCCCACCCUUGAAUAUUUAUACCUUAGUUGCUUUGGCAGGCCGUGGAAACACCAUGGGCUCCGGCUUAUGCGUGCCUGCCAGAGGAAACAAACUCUGUUUUUAGUGAUGUCUGAGUACUAUAUAAUAGUUAAAACUUUCAACAACGGAUCUCUUGGUUCUG